UGGGUUGUACUUCCGGGUAGCUACGAACUCAAACUUUUACAUGUGUAAUUAUUGUAAUACACGACAAUAUCUCAUAAUAUUCAGGAAUUCAUAACUAAAAAAUAUCUGAAUGAAAUAUGUCAUGUUCAUUUGCAAUGUAGAUGUAAAUGAAGCAAGAUUGUGACUGUAGGUUUUGGCUUCGAGUGUAUAAGUUGACAUGGCAGCUUGCGGAGAGCGAACAAGUACCUGUCAUCAGCAGUCGUGUGUAGUGUGACAUCAAGAACCAUGAAGUAGACGACACCGCAAGCCGUCACGAUGUUGCUGAUUACCUCUGUCCUGUUUGUGGCUCUUGCCGUGCUCUGCGCCAUCUUGCAGUUCUGGGCCCACCGUACACGGAAAGAUGAAUCUGUCGGCAACAAUCCCCAGUUCCUCAAGUUCCAGCGAGGCUACUACCUGGUCUACCUGGUUGCCAUGUUCGCCGACUGGCUUCAAGGGCCGUACUUGUACAAACUCUACAGUUACUAUGGUUUCCAGGAAGAGCAGAUCGCUGUACUCUAUGUCUUCGGGGUUCGCCUCCUCUGUCAUUCUGGGAUCAUGGACUCCGAUUGCUGCGGAUCAGUUUGGCCGCAAGAAAUUAUGUGUUGUGUUUACAGUGACCUAUUCCUUGUCAUGCUUGCUCAAACUGUCCAGAAGCUACAUGAUAUUAAUCAUCGGAAGAAUCGUCGGCGGUGUGGCAACAUCUGUUUUGUUUUCCGCCUUCGAGGCUUGGUACGUUCACGAACAUCUGGAAACUCAUGACUUUCCAAAAGAAUGGAUUUCACUCACUUUUGCUAAAGCAUCUUUCUGGAAUGGUAUUCUGGCCAUGACAGCUGGAAUUACAACAAACAUUGUAUCGGAAUGGUUCGGUCUUGGACCCGUGGCACCGUACAUGCUGGCUGUUCCAUUCUUGAUAUUUGUGGGGAUCAUAAUCUCCACCCACUGGAAUGAGAACUACAGUGGACAUAAAGUGAAGUUCCCGGAAGGUGUGUGGUGAAGGCUUCAAGAGUAUUGUCACCAAUGAGAAGAUUUUCAUGAUCGGUGCCAUUGAAGCCCUGUUUGAGAGUGUUAUCUACAUUAUUAUAUUUCUAUGGACACCAAUAUUGGACACAGGUCAUCCAUCUCUCGGUCUGACCUUCUCCAGUUUUAUGGUGUGUAUUCUGAUUGGUCAGGCUGUGAACCAAAUUCUUAUUUCACGGAACAUUCCAGUGACGACCAUGUUGAUAGCAGCGACAAUAAUAGGCAUCACGAGUAUGUCGGUGUGUGUGAUAUCGACUCAUCCCGAGCAGAGGAAUGUGACUGUUACUUACGUUGCUUUGUUAUUGUUCGAGUUCGGAGUCGGAAUCUAUUUUCCAAGCAUGGGAUUUCUCCGGAACCACAUAAUUCCGGAGUCGCACCGUUACAGCAUAAUGAACUGGUUCCGAAUCCCCCUGAACCUCAUUUCUUGUGUUGUGUUGAUGUUGCUGCACGAAGACGUGUUCCGUCACGGCAACAGAAUGAUCUUCGUGAUCUGUAUAGUUCUCCUGUCGCUCGGACUACUGUGCGGGGUGCGCUUUGUGAAAAUCGCGAAAGAUGAUGAGAACUUGAAACAGGAUACCAUUUUGACAGAGAGCGAACAUAUUCAUAACAUUUUCUAGAAUAUUUCUUAACAUGUUCUAGAAUGUUUGUUUUUAGAUUAAAAUAUUUUCAAAAUGGAUAGAUUCUGAAGAGAUUGUACGUAAGAGAAUGGAGACUUCCAAAACGACUGGUUAGAGGUCUGACGGAAGAGGUGAAUGGAAACAAGAUGGACGGUCAGAACUGAAUCUGUCAACUGACAAUAUAAUUAAUACAAUAUAAUUGAUGUUUGGUAGACACAUAAAGAAGAAAUCCUGAUGGAAAGCUACCUUGACAAGAGUAUCAGGAGAAAAUGCAUGAAUGAUAUCACAGUAAAGACUGAUAUUAACCUUACUUAUUUCCCAUUGAUAUCCACGAUCAAAACUGAGAUCAGGAAUGGUGUUUGUUUCAUUCAGUUUUGAAAUUAAGGUGGCCUCGAGGAAAUUUGGGUUUGUGUAGUGGUACUUAAAUCUAGGACUCCUAAAUCUCGCAAGCUUCUAAGAUUAGAGUCACAACAAAGAUUACAGGACUUGCAUAAUUCUGUGCACAGCACUGCCUUAAUGAUAAUACAUUGGAAGUAACCACUGGCCCAAGACAACAUGAAUGUGUCCUGAUGAUUGUCCAUGUUGGUGUUCAAUACUCAGCAAGAUGGACCAUCAUCUUGAGCAACAGUCCACAACAUGGAGUCAUGAAUGUUAGACACUGCAUUCCAGAAAAUACGAAAUCAGUUGAUCAGUGACAGAAACAGUUUUGUCUUGAAUGUUUUGUGUGGGCCAUAUUUGUGUCUAUCUUCUAUAUACUCAGAAUACCAGCCCACUGAAGUGUUUCAGUGUAUCUUCUUGCCGGUAUAUUUUUACGUUUUCUACAUCAAUUGUCUUUAGAUGGCUUUCAUACUGGUUGCUUUAAAAAUCUUCAUUUCCUAGGUAGUCUUUACAAUAUAUCCAUAUCAUCUAUGUAGACACUGUUUUCAUUUGCACAAUUGAUAUAAAAAAAGCAGUUACCAUGGUUACUAGAGAUGUCACGAUACAUAGAUGUCACAUACUGGAAUAGAAUGCUGUUCACUUUUGGGCCACAGAUUACUUCAUGUAGUCACAUAUCACAUGACUGUCAUGUGUUUAUUGUAGAGGUUGACUGUUCUUAUGUGGAGUAGAUGGUUCAGUUCCAGGAGUGUAGCAGUAGAAGUGCUGACAUUGCAGUUUGCAAUAUUCGCCAACUCACCCAGAAUGCUCAUACUGCUCAACAUUAUCAGGCAGAUAAGUUUCAACGCUUGAACUGAUAUGGAUUUGUUUAUUUGGGAUGACUGGUUGUGAAUAUGUUUCUCAAUACGUUUAACAUAGUCGAAAUAUUUAUGUAUCGCUGAUUUUAGAUUUAUGAAUACAGAAUGAUGGAUGAUGAGCUAUUAUCCACAGACAUAGAGACAGUGUAGCGUGUACAAAUUAUUAUGGUACUAUUUCCAUUUAUUCAAAACAUAUUCAACAUGUUUCAGAUAUAUUUCAAAAUGUU
Long non-coding RNA from Haliotis rubra (blacklip abalone), 3111 nucleotides. RefSeq lists it as uncharacterized. The transcript has 2 exons. The record is from RefSeq and is a predicted model, not a curated record. NCBI's taxonomy places the organism in Eukaryota, Metazoa, Mollusca, Gastropoda, Lepetellida, Haliotidae.